RNAcentral lists this ribosomal RNA (855 nucleotides) under uncultured Salinispora sp. Its description in RNAcentral is "bacterial SSU rRNA". It matches the Rfam family "Bacterial small subunit ribosomal RNA", at positions 28 to 921 of the family's 1533-position model. Lineage: Bacteria; Bacillati; Actinomycetota; Actinomycetes; Micromonosporales; Micromonosporaceae. The record is from RNAcentral.
AACGAACGCUGGCGGCAUGCCUAACACAUGCAAGUCGAACGAGGGCUUCGGCCCUAGUGGCGCACGGGUGAGUAACGCGUGGGAACCUGCCCUGUGGUACGGAACAACUCCGGGAAACUGGAGCUAAUACCGUAUGCGUCCUUUGGGACAAAGAUUUAUCGCCAUGGGAUGGGCCCGCGUAGGAUUAGCUAGUUGGCGGGGUAACGGCCCACCAAGGCUUCGAUCCUUAGCUGGUCUGAGAGGAUGAUCAGCCACACUGGGACUGAGACACGGCCCAGACUCCUACGGGAGGCAGCAGUGGGGAAUCUUGCACAAUGGGCGAAAGCCUGAUGCAGCGACGCCGCGUGAGGGAUGACGGCCUUCGGGUUGUAAACCUCUUUCGACAGGGACGAAGCGCAAGUGACGGUACCUGGAGAAGAAGCGCCGGCCAACUACGUGCCAGCAGCCGCGGUAAGACGUAGGGCGCGAGCGUUGUCCGGAUUUAUUGGGCGUAAAGAGCUCGUAGGCGGCUUGUCGCGUCGACUGUGAAAACCCGCGGCUCAACCGUGUGGCUUGCAGUUGAUACGGGCAGGCUAGAGUUCGGUAGGGGAGACUGGAAUUCCUGGUGUAGCGGUGAAAUGCGCAGAUAUCAGGAGGAACACCGGUGGCGAAGGCGGGUCUCUGGGCCGAUACUGACGCUGAGGAGCGAAAGCGUGGGGAGCGAACAGGAUUAGAUACCCUGGUAGUCCACGCUGUAAACGUUGGGCGCUAGGUGUGGGGGGCCUCUCCGGUCCUCUGUGCCGCAGCUAACGCAUUAAGCGCCCCGCCUGGGGAGUACGGCCGCAAGGCUAAAACUCAAAGGAAUUGACGGGGGCC